GGAUAAGAUCCUCUCCCUCUUCUGCCAUGAACUUCGGAUCCCACAGCUCCACAGCCUCCGGCGGAGUCAGACUUCUGGCCUUCUCUACGGGCUCUCGCAGCUCUUCCUCUAUGCAUCCGAGGCGCUCAUCCUCUGGUAUGGUGCCCACCUUGUCCACAACGGUGCGUCCACCUUCUCCAAGGUCAUCAAGGUGUUUGUCGUCCUCGUUAUCACCGCGAACUCAGUCGCCGAGACGGUCAGCCUUGCCCCCGAGAUCAUCCGUGGAGGCGAGUCGAUCCGUUCGGUUUUCUCGAUUCUCAACCGGGGGACCAUCAUCGACCCUGACGAUCCGGAAUCAGAGAUGGUCGAGUCUAUCCGUGGGGAGAUUGAGUUCCGGCAUGUCGAUUUCGCCUACCCCGCCCGGCCUGACAUCCCCAUCUUCAAGGAUCUGAAUCUGAGGAUCCGUGCCGGCCACAGCCAGGCGCUUGUUGGAGCUAGUGGGUCAGGGAAGAGUUCGAUAAUUGCACUGAUUGAGAGGUUCUACGAUCCGACUGCCGGCAAGGUGAUGAUCGAUGGUAAGGACAUUCGUCGGCUGAACUUGAAGUCACUUCGGUUUAGGAUUGGUUUAGUUCAGCAAGAGCCUGUACUUUUCGCCUCUAGCAUCUUUGAGAACAUUGCUUAUGGAAAAGAUGGGGCAACUGAGGAGGAGGUGGUUGAGGCAGCGAAGGCUGCAAAUGUGCACGGUUUUGUCAGCGGUCUACCGGAGGGGUACAAGACGGCGGUAGGGGAGAGGGGAGUGCAGCUUUCAGGCGGGCAGAAGCAGCGGAUUGCGAUUGCGAGAGCAGUGCUGAAGGACCCGACUGUGCUGCUACUGGACGAGGCGACCAGUGCGCUGGACGCUGAAUCGGAGAACAUACUUCAGGAGGCAUUGGAUCGACUGAUGAAGGGGCGGACGACGGUGCUGGUGGCUCAUCGUCUAUCGACUAUUCGGCGGGUGGAUUCAAUCGGGGUGGUGCAGGAUGGGCGCAUUGUGGAGCAAGGGAGCCACUCUGAGCUGAUAUCCCGGCUGGAGGGGGCGUACUCGAAGCUGUUG
This 1072-nucleotide unclassified non-coding RNA is filed under the name Hevea brasiliensis (rubber tree). The record is from RNAcentral. Lineage: Eukaryota; Viridiplantae; Streptophyta; Magnoliopsida; Malpighiales; Euphorbiaceae.